AUGGGAGAGGAAGAAAGGUUUUGUCAUACCCACUUUUUUACCUCAAGACUAUUUCUUCCUUUUUUGUAUGUCUUUUUAUAUGUCUUCCUUCUUCAGCUGAUUUUCCAUGUGGACACAAGCUGUACACAAAGGGGAGCAUUUUAUUGUAAAGGAGGAAAAAGGGAAAGGAGCAGGAGAGAAGUCCUUCAAGUCAGGAAGAAGAAAAAAUAUGUGUCCGUUAAUCUUAUAAAAGCAUUUUCCCCUGAAAUAUUUGUUAAUUUAUCAUACAGAUAUAUAGGCAUCUCCCCCGCAAGCCUUUGCAAUCCCUAUGUACCUAUAUAUCUGUAUCUAUCUAUCUAUAUACAUUAAUUUUAUAUAUGAAUUUCCCCCUCAUAUGUUUGCAGGUCUUUGAAAAUUCUAUAUACAUAUAGAUACCUAGAGAUUUUUAUGUAUCUGUAUAUCUGUAUCUAUAUGCAUACAUUAUUUUAUAUAUGAAUGUCCCCUUUACGUGUUUGCAAGUUUCUGCAAAUCAUAUAUAAUUAUCUAUAUAUGGAGAGAUGUCUAGAUAGAUAGAUAUAUGAAUAUAGGACUUGCAAAUAUUGCUGGAGGAAAAUGCACAGAGCUAGUUUUUCUUUGAAAUACAAUAAACAUUCAAGAACCUUUAACCUACUGAUGCCUCAAUUACUGUAAUUUUAUUGGUAUUUAUUUUAUUUUGAAAUUUACCAGUAGCUUCUGUAUUUCCAACCCUAGGCUUAUACCUGAGUCAAUAAAUUUUCCCAGUUUUUUGUGGUAAAAUUAGGUAUCUUGGCUUAUAUUCGGGUUGGCUUAAACUUGAGUAUAUACGGUAAUUAAAAGCCAAAAAGAGAUUAUUUCAUUAUACACUUGUACACUUUAAAAAAAUGAAAUCUAUCUCCACUGAUGAAAAAUAGCUAUUAUUUUUUAAAAACCUCUUUAGUAUCAGUGGUUUAGGAUGUCUUUUCUGAAAAAUAAUUUAUUGAACUCAUAGGGGGUUUUUAUCCUAAGGGCUGGUUCUCAGAAACAUGCCAAAAACCCCCCAUAAACUUCAUAGCUGUAAAAAAUAAAAAUAAAUUGCUAGAUAAUGUAUAGUAAUUUCCCCAUCUGAUAUAUAGUGUAAUGCGUACUAUAUUUGAAACAUUCUCUUUUCCAGUUCAACGGUUAUACUAAGUUGAUUUAUGAAUACCUAUUUUACACAUUUAUAAAGAAAUGCUUUAGUUUGCAUUAAUUUAAAUGCUUCAGCAAAGAUAGGUGUCAGCUAAAAUAAAUAGAGUUAUAUUUUAGAUAUUUUUGUACUGAAGUUUGAUAUUCCAAACUAUGUGUGUUGUGCAUCAGAGGUGAACUGCUUAUACUCUAAUGUAAGGCCAGAGCAGUUCCCCCAAACACAUGUUAAGCAAGUUUUGGAAACAAUACUAUCAGAACUGAAGCUUGGAAUGCUAGUAAAAAUGUAGGAUAAGAUGUUGAUUCAUAUAAAAAGAAGCUUCCUGUGUUGCCUUUGAAACAAUGUGCCCUAGGCUGCACUUUAGUUACAAUUUGCACCUUUGCUGUUCAUUGGGUGAUGCAGGGCAUGGGGCGAUGGGUUCUCCAUGCCCUCUGCCGGGAUGCCACAGAUUUGUUAUGAUACGUGACAAAUACAUAUUCCGAUGUGACAAGGUCCUUAGUUAAUGCUAAAUGAAAAAGAGCAUAUGUUCAUCAAAUACAGCUCUUCUGUCACAUAAAUAAGUGGUACAGGUGAGCUGUGCAUGUUGUAGGUCCCAUUAAAUAAUUUUGAUAAAAGUAUCAAACAUCUGUUAACUGGUAAUUAGUGGAACUGGACUAAUUUCGUGGAAUAUGGUGAAGUUAUCACUCACGCUAUGGUAUGUCUGUGAUUUUUGGUGUCUUUCUUGUUCUAUUAUUUAUUUUAUGUCCUUCUUUGUUCCUUUGGAAGAACCUAGUGUUUUGAUAAUAGAGACUUAGAAACUAGAAAGCAGCACUUGGAUUUCUAAGGGAAUUCCAGCAUGGUUUUCUCUAGGCAGUCUAUCCUAGACAGUUCCCCAGAUACACAUUUUAGGACUUCUUAACCAGACCUUUUACCAUUUUAUAAUCCUCUGUCUGCAGUUCAAACUAAACAGACCUUUCCAGACUGAAACGCCACCUUGAAAAAGGAAUAGCUAAGAAAUACAGGAAAAAUGGUUUAAAUGUAAAUUGCUUGCCAGAGAACUCCACUCUGUUUUAUGACUCCUUAGCAUUGUUAUGAAGAUGUGAGCGCAUUGUCAUACUUCACUGAGCCUCAGCCUUACAAUUUAGCUUAAUUAUCUUCAAGGUCAUUUUUAAAAAGAGAAUCAGGCCAAGCUUGAAAAUGUCAAGUAACUUGGAACGAUAGAACUUUCUCCUGUUUUCCAUUAUGCACUAUUUUAUUAUUGUCUGUAACCAUGAUUAUGUCUAUUUUGGCAUGAAAAAGCCACGGUUUUCUCAGUAUAAAGAAUGGACCACUAUAGAAAAUCUCUCUAACCAGUUCAUUUUCAUGCAGCCAACUGUUGGGAGAUUAAUAGGUGUGAGAACACUGCAUAUUCAGUGCAAGGGGGAAGAGGGAACCUCUUCAUUUUGACUAGGCUAAGCAAAAAGUAUAUGAAAAUGUAAGGCUAUACUGAAGAGUUUUUCUGCCCAUAAAGCUGACUGAGCACCCAGAAUUUAUUUGUGCAAUUCUGAGAUAUGGAUUUUGCUUUUAUUGAAAACCAAUGGCCUAUAAACUGACAAUCUCUAACAGUGUAUUUUUACUCAAAGGUAAGUCCUACCUUGAUCAGUGCACCAAGCGUGCAUAGGGCUGAAGAUUUAAGCCAGCAUUAUAUCUUGAUCUCUGGAUUCCUCGAUGGUAGCACCAACCAGAAUGUGGAGGCAUGAGACCAAUGAGCUGUUGGAUUCAAAUGUUUUUUUCCAUCAGAGGGAAGCAAAAGCUACCAACUGCUCCACAACCAUCCACAAAAAUUCAAAGGGGAUUUGAUUUAGUUUGAGCUUGAUUUCAACUUCCCGGCAACUCAUUUUCAUGUUCUAAGGCAAAGCUUUCCAAACAUUUCACAUUUGUGACACACCCUAUUAGGUCUGCAUCAUUUCAUGACACAGUAAUUCAGUUUUACUAGCAAACCAGAAAUUAAACCAAAUCCUUAUAAGAGAUAUGGGCUUAUACAUAAAUUGCAAUAACGAAAUGUAUGGGAACACAAUGUAUCUCAUGAAAACCUUUCAUUUAUAUAGUUUUAAAAUAUAUGAUUUAUUGCUAAUUUCACAUAGAGAUAUUUUGUUUUGUUUAUGCAACACAUUUAUGCACUGCAGCCAACACACUAAUGUGUCUUGACACAUAGUUUGGAAAGCUCUGUUCUAAAGUAAAGCCUUCCACCUCUAAUUCUUUUUCGUCCAAAUUGGACUACCACAUCUCUAUCAGCUUUGUUUCUCUUAGAGUAGUUCGUAGUUACUCUGUAUACCCGGUCGAUAUUUUGGUCUGCUUGGUCUUCCGUCAUCCGUAGUAUCUCUGCCACCAUUUUGGUUAUGAUUGCUCUGAUAUUUUCCUUUGCUUCUUCUUGGAUAUUUCGGAAUCUUAGUUGAAAUUCCAAUUCCUUUUGCUCCCAUUGUUCGUAUUUGUUUUCUAAUUUAAUAUUUUUUUCCUCUAAUCCUUGCAUUUUAUUACAUAUUUUGUCCUGGGUUUUUUUCUAUUUUCUUUGUUUCUGUCUUUUAGAGAUGAAAUCCUGAAAGAAAAUAGCCAAACCCCAACCAUAUUUAAAGGGAAAAGGGUAGCAAUACUCAAAGAAUUCCCAACAUCGACUCUGAUAAAGAGGAGAAAAUAUUUCUUCCUAACGGAGGAUCUGAAAAUAUUGGGAAUACGAUUUAGAUGGGAAAGAAGGGAGGGCAUUAUGGUCUCCUACAAAGAGAAUAAAUAUUGGCUGACAACGGAAGAGAAGGCCAGGGACUUCCACAAAAAACUUAAAAGUGAUAUGGAAGAAAGUAAACCUAAAGAAUGUAAGGAUGCAAGAGACACACAAAAAAAAAAGAGAGCGAAGUUUGAUUCCCCGGAAGAAGAAGAUAUCCAAUCUGGAAAAGAGGAAGAAAACUGCGACAGAGAAGAUGAGGAAGAAGAAGGAGUAGAAGAAGAAGAGGAAAACAAAGAAGAUGGAAAUCAGAUUCUACUCUAAUAAUGUCAACGGACUAAAUUCUCCACAGAAAAGAAAAUAAAUAUUCAACGCCAUUAGGAAGGGUAGAUAUGACAUAUCGGCGCUACAAGAAACCCAUAUCUCCCAAAAACAUAUAUCACACCUGACUCAAAAAUCAAUUGGACAAGAAUAUUUUUCUUCAGCUCCUGAAAAAAAGCGUGGAGUAGUAAUAUAUGUAAACCCAAGACUUAACACACGGUUAGCUUUUAAAGAUGACGAUGGAAGGAUAGUGGGAAUUAUAUUACAAUUCGAUAAUCGAAAGAUCUUAAUAUGUAACAUAUACGCGCCAAAUGGACCCAAAAAAACUUUUGUGAAAAAACUGUCAGAAUCAAUUAGGAACCAGG
Anolis carolinensis (green anole) is the source of this 4516-nucleotide long non-coding RNA. Lineage: Eukaryota; Metazoa; Chordata; Lepidosauria; Squamata; Anolidae. The record is from Ensembl.